Molecule: ribosomal RNA, 372 nt
Filed under: uncultured organism
Description: bacterial SSU rRNA
Rfam family: Bacterial small subunit ribosomal RNA
Source: RNAcentral
CGUAGGAGGCAAGCGUUAUCCGGAUUCACUGGGCGUAAAGCGCGUGCAGGUGGCGCGGUAAGUUAGGCGUGAAAUCUCCCGGCUCAACUGGGAGAGGUCGUCUAAUACUACCGUGCUUGAGAGCAGAAGAGGAAGAUGGAAUUCCCGGUGUAGUGGUGAAAUGCGUAGAUAUCGGGAGGAACACCAGUGGCGAGGGCGAUCUUCUGGUCUGUUUCUGACACUCAGACGCGACAGCUAGGGUAGUAAACGGGAUUAGAGACCCCGGUAAUCCUAGCCGUAAACGAUGUGAACUUGGCGUUGGUGGGUUAAACUCCAUCAGUGCCGUAGCAAACGCGAUAAGUUCACCGCCUGGGGACUACGGCCGCAAGGUUA